CCUACGGGGGGCAGCAGUAGGGAAUUUUGCGCAAUGGGCGAAAGCCUGACGCAGCAACGCCGCGUGCAGGAUGAAGGCCUUCGGGUUGUAAACUGCUUUUAUAAGCGAGAAAUAUGAUGGUAACUUAUGAAUAAGGAUCGGCUAACUACGUGCCAGCAGCCGCGGUCAUACGUAGGAUCCGAGCAUUAUCCGGAGUGACUGGGUGUAAAGAGUUGCGUAGGUGGCAUAAUAAGUAGCUAGUGAAAUCUGGUGGCUCAACCAUUCAGACUAUUAGCUAAACUGUUAAGCUCGAGACCGUUAGGGGUAACUGGAAUUUCUAGUGUAGGAGUGAAAUCCGUAGAUAUUAGAAGGAACACCAAUAGCGUAGGCAGGUUGCUGGGACGGUUCUGACACUAAGGCACGAAAGCGUAGGGAGCAAACGGGAUUAGAUACCCUAGUAGUC
Molecule: ribosomal RNA, 442 nt
Filed under: uncultured bacterium
Lineage: Bacteria
Description: partial 16S ribosomal RNA
Rfam family: Bacterial small subunit ribosomal RNA
Source: RNAcentral